UAAGAUACGUAGGAGUUUAACCUACAAUUCUGUCUUGACAAGGCAGGGUAAUGUUUUUACUAGUAUCUU
This 69-nucleotide transfer RNA is filed under the name Occidentarius platypogon (cominate sea catfish). Its description in RNAcentral is "tRNA-Asp". The record is from RNAcentral. Lineage: Eukaryota; Metazoa; Chordata; Actinopteri; Siluriformes; Ariidae.